AACGAACGCUUGCGGCAUGCCUACCACAUGCAAGCCGACCGAGAUCUUCGGGUCUAGUGGCGCACGGGUGCGUAACGCGUGGGAAUCUGCCCUUUGGUUCGGAAUAACAGUUGGAAACGACUGCUAAUACCGGAUGAUGACGAAAGUCCAAAGAUUUAUCGCCAGAGGAUGAGCCCGCGUAGGUUUAGCUAGUUGGUGAGGUAAAGGCGCACCAAGGCGACGAUCCUUAGCUGGUCUGAGAGGAUGAGCAGCCACACUGGGACUGAGACUAGGCCCGAACUCUUACGGGUGGCAGCAGUGCGGAAGAUUGGUCACUGAGCGUAAGCCUGAUGCAUGAAUGUCGCGUGGGUGAUGAAGGCCGUAGGGUUUUAAAGCUCUUUUGGCCGUGAUGAUAAUGGCAGUACCAGGGGAAUAAGCUCCGGCUAACUGCGUGCCAGCAGCCGCCGUAA
RNAcentral lists this ribosomal RNA (449 nucleotides) under uncultured bacterium. Its description in RNAcentral is "partial 16S ribosomal RNA". It matches the Rfam family "Bacterial small subunit ribosomal RNA", at positions 29 to 523 of the family's 1533-position model. The record is from RNAcentral.